Molecule: long non-coding RNA, 562 nt
Organism: Oncorhynchus tshawytscha (Chinook salmon)
Lineage: Eukaryota; Metazoa; Chordata; Actinopteri; Salmoniformes; Salmonidae
Exons: 2
Source: RefSeq, a predicted model, not a curated record
UCUCUCUCUCUCUCUGUCUCUCUCUCUGUCUCUCACACUCACACUCACACUCACACUCACACACACACAAACUGUGUAUGUAACUUCUAUUUCAGGGUGGAGGGUGCCGGUUCCUUCGUUAUGACUGUAAUGUGGAAGCACCUCGUAAAGGAUGGUCUUUCAUGCACCCAGGCAGACUGACUCACUACCACGAGGGCCUGCCUACAACCAGCGGGACUAGAUACAUCAUGGUUUCCUUUGUUGACCCCUAAACCCUGACCUCUAACACCUGAACACACCACCCAGAAACCAACACGACCUUGGUCUUCAGAGGUCUGUCAGAAACAUUUAUCAUCAUGUUUUAAACUACUGCUUCAGACUGAGGCCCAAAUGUUGCAACUUAAAUCUGGUGUUUUUAUUGGUAGAUUUUGUUGUUGUUUUCUAGUGUUCUGGUCCCAUGUUAGCAAUCAAAGUGUGUCUGUCCAUCUGACAUGCUUCUAUCAAGCUUUGUACAAAAUGCCCUAAAUUAUUUGUUAUGAUUGAGAAAUAAAGUUUCACAUUUUAAUAAAUAAUUAGAUCUAUA